This 408-nucleotide ribosomal RNA is filed under the name uncultured Atopobium sp. RNAcentral's name for it is "bacterial SSU rRNA". It matches the Rfam family "Bacterial small subunit ribosomal RNA", at positions 355 to 776 of the family's 1533-position model. The record is from RNAcentral. Lineage: Bacteria; Bacillati; Actinomycetota; Coriobacteriia; Coriobacteriales; Atopobiaceae.
UGGGGAAUCUUGCACAAUGGGCGAAAGCCUGAUGCAGCGACGCCGCGUGCGGGAAGAAGGCCUUCGGGUUGUAAACCGCUUUCAGCAGGGACGAGGCGAAAGUGACGGUACCUGCAGAAGAAGCCCCGGCUAACUACGUGCCAGCAGCCGCGGUAAUACGUAGGGGGCAAGCGUUAUCCGGAUUCAUUGGGCGUAAAGCGCUCGUAGGCGGUCUGUUAGGUCGGGAGUUAAAUCCGGAGGCUCAACCUCCGCCCGCUCCCGAUACCGGCAGACUUGAGUUUGGUAGGGGAAGGUGGAAUUCCUAGUGUAGCGGUGGAAUGCGCAGAUAUUAGGAAGAACACCAGUGGCGAAGGCGGCCUUCUGGGCCAUAACUGACGCUGAGGAGCGAAAGCUAGGGGAGCAAACAGG